CCUACGGGUGGCAGCAGUGGGGAAUAUUGGACAAUGGGCGAAAGCCUGAUCCAGCCAUGCCGCGUGUAUGAAAAAGGCCUUCGGGUUGUAAAGCACUUUCAGUGGGGAAGAAAGCCUUGGGGCUAAUACCCUCGAGGAAGGACAUCACCCACAGAAGAAGCACCGGCUAACUCCGUGCCAGCAGCCGCGGUAAUACGGAGGGUGCGAGCGUUAAUCGGAAUUACUGGGCGUAAAGCGCGCGUAGGCGGUCUGAUAAGCCGGUUGUGAAAGCCCCGGGCUCAACCUGGGAACGGCAUCCGGAACUGUCAGGCUAGAGUGCAGGAGAGGAAGGUAGAAUUCCCGGUGUAGCGGUGAAAUGCGUAGAGAUCGGGAGGAAUACCAGUGGCGAAGGCGGCCUUCUGGACUGACACUGACGCUGAGGUGCGAAAGCGUGGGUAGCAAACAGGAUUAGAUACCCGGGUAGUC
This 465-nucleotide ribosomal RNA is filed under the name Vreelandella stevensii. RNAcentral describes it as "partial 16S ribosomal RNA". It matches the Rfam family "Bacterial small subunit ribosomal RNA", at positions 338 to 795 of the family's 1533-position model. The record is from RNAcentral. Lineage: Bacteria; Pseudomonadati; Pseudomonadota; Gammaproteobacteria; Oceanospirillales; Halomonadaceae.